This 253-nucleotide ribosomal RNA is filed under the name uncultured bacterium. RNAcentral's name for it is "partial 16S ribosomal RNA". It matches the Rfam family "Bacterial small subunit ribosomal RNA", at positions 524 to 776 of the family's 1533-position model. The record is from RNAcentral.
UACGUAUGGUGCAGGCGUUAAUCGGAAUUACUGGGCGUAAAGCGUGCGCAGGCGGUUUCUUAAGUCAGAUGUGAAAGCCCCGGGCUUAACCUGGGAACUGCGUUUGAAACUGGGAGACUUGAGUGUGGCAGAGGGGGGUGGAAUUCCACGUGUAGCAGUGAAAUGCGUAGAUAUGUGGAGGAACACCGAUGGCGAAGGCAGCCCCCUGGGUUAACACUGACGCUCAUGCACGAAAGCGUGGGGAGCAAACAGG